CACGUAGGGGGCAAGCGUUGUCCGGAUUUAUUGGGCGUAAAGAGCUCGUAGGCGGUUCGGUAAGUCGGGUGUGAAACCUCCAGGCUCAACCUGGAGCCGCCACCCGAUACUGUUGUGACUAGAGUCCAGUAGGGGAGCGUGGAAUUCCUGGUGUAGCGGUGAAAUGCGCAGAUAUCAGGAGGAACACCAGUGGCGAAGGCGGCGCUCUGGGCUGGAACUGACGCUGAGGAGCGAAAGCGUGGGGAGCGAACAGG
Molecule: ribosomal RNA, 254 nt
Filed under: uncultured bacterium
Lineage: Bacteria
Description: partial 16S ribosomal RNA
Rfam family: Bacterial small subunit ribosomal RNA
Source: RNAcentral